UGACCUCAAAUCAGGUAACGAAUAACCGCUGA
Molecule: ribosomal RNA, 32 nt
Filed under: Yamadazyma atlantica
Lineage: Eukaryota; Fungi; Ascomycota; Pichiomycetes; Serinales; Debaryomycetaceae
Also listed under: 1 other name
Description: [Candida] atlantica partial 26S ribosomal RNA
Source: RNAcentral